Molecule: transfer RNA, 74 nt
Filed under: Sphingobacteriales bacterium TSM_CSM
Lineage: Bacteria; Pseudomonadati; Bacteroidota; Sphingobacteriia; Sphingobacteriales
Also listed under: 3 other names
Description: tRNA-Arg
Rfam family: tRNA
About the family: Transfer RNA (tRNA) molecules are approximately 80 nucleotides in length. Their secondary structure includes four short double-helical elements and three loops (D, anti-codon, and T loops).
Source: RNAcentral
GGACCCGUAGCUCAACUGGAUAGAGCAUUAGACUACGGAUCUAAAGGUUGUGAGUUCGAAUCUCGCCGGGUUCA